GACGUAUGUAGAUCUCGGGAAUUGAGGAUAAUACUCCAUAGAUCAUGACACCUGGAAUGAGUCAUGGUUCAAAGUUCCGGCGCUUAAGGAUCGGUCUGCGGCCUAUCAGGUAGUAGUGGGUGUAAUGUACCUACUAGCCUAUGACGGGUAUGGGCCUUGAGAGAGGGAGCCCAGAGUUGGAUUCUGAGACACGAAUCCAGGCCCUACGGGGCGCAGCAGUCGCGAAAACUUCACAAUGGGCGCAAGCCCGAUGAGGGAACUCCUAGUGCUAGCACUUUUGUGUUAGCUUUUCUCAGCGUAGAUAACUGAAGGAAUAAGGGCUGGGUAAGACGGGUGCCAGCCGCCGCGGUAAUACGUGCAGCCCAAGUGGUGGUCGAUUUUAUUGAGUCUAAAACGUUCGUAGCCGGUCUGGUAAAUCCUUUGGGUAAAUCGGAAAGCUUAACUUUCCGAAUUCCGAGGAGACUGCCAGACUUGGGACCGGGAGAGGCUAGAGGUACUUCUGGGGUAGGGGUAAAAUCCUGUAAUCCUAGAAGGACCACCGGUGGCGAAGGCGUCUAGCUAGAACGGAUCCGACGGUGAGGGACGAAGCCCUGGGUCGCAAACGGGAUUAGAUACCCCGGUAGUCCAGGGUGUAAACGCUGCAGACUUGGUGUUGGAGACCCUUCGAGGGUAUUCAGUGCCGGAGAGAAGUUGUUAAGUCUGCUACUUGGGGAGUACGUCCGCAAGGAUGAAACUUAAAGGAAUUGGCGGGGGAGCACCGCAACGGGAGGAGCGUGCGGUUUAAUUGGAUUCAACACCGGAAAACUCACCAGGGGAGACUGUUACAUGAAAGCCAGGCUAAUGACCUUGCUCGAUUUUCAGAGAAGUGGUGCAUGGCCGUCGUCAGUUCGUACCGUAAGGCGUUCUCUUAAGUGAGAUAACGAACGAGACCCUCACUAAUAAUUGCUACUCCGUUCUCCGGAACGGAGGCACAUUAUUGGGACCGCUGGCGCUAAGCCAGAGGAAGGAGAGGUCAACGGUAGGUCAGUAUGCCCUGAAUCUCCUGGGCUACACGCGCGCUACAAAGGGCGGGACAAUGGGUUCCGACACCGAAAGGUGAAGGUAAUCUCGAAACCCGUCCGUAGUUCGGAUUGAGGGUUGUAACUCACCCUCAUGAAGCUGGAUUCCGUAGUAAUCGCGAAUCACACUCGCGAUCC
RNAcentral lists this ribosomal RNA (1196 nucleotides) under Methanomassiliicoccales archaeon enrichment culture. RNAcentral describes it as "bacterial SSU rRNA". It matches the Rfam family "Archaeal small subunit ribosomal RNA", at positions 119 to 1321 of the family's 1478-position model. The record is from RNAcentral. Lineage: Archaea; Methanobacteriati; Thermoplasmatota; Thermoplasmata; Methanomassiliicoccales.